UGGUGCUGUCAUUCAGCCUGAGGAAGAGAGUCCAAAUGUUAUUAUUGAUGGUAUAGGUCUCACUCUGCUGGUAUUGAUGGAUGGUAUAGGUCUCACUCUGCUGGUAUUGAUGGAUGGUAUAGGUCUCACUCUCUGCUGGUAUUGAUGGCUGGUAUAGGUCUCACACUCUGCUGGUAUUGAUGGAUGGUAUAGGUCUCACUCUGCUGGUAUUGAUGGAUGGUAUAGGUCUCACUCUGCUGGUAUUGAUGGAUGGUAUAGGUCACACUCUGCUGGUAUUGAUGGUUGGUAUAGGUCUCACUCUGCUGGUAUUGAUGGAUGGUAUAGGUCUCACUCUGCUGGUAUUGAUGGAUGGUAUAGGUCUCACACUCUGCUGGUAUUGAUGGAUGGUAAAGGUCUCACACUCUGCUGGUAUUGAUGGAUGGUAUAGGUCUCACACUCUGCUGGUAUUGAUGGAUGGUAAAGGUCUCACACUCUGCUGGUAUUGAUGGAUGGUAUAG
This 497-nucleotide long non-coding RNA is filed under the name Salmo salar (Atlantic salmon). RNAcentral describes it as "lncRNA (ENSSSAG00000081918.1)". Lineage: Eukaryota; Metazoa; Chordata; Actinopteri; Salmoniformes; Salmonidae. The record is from RNAcentral.